This 470-nucleotide ribosomal RNA is filed under the name uncultured bacterium. RNAcentral's name for it is "bacterial SSU rRNA". It matches the Rfam family "Bacterial small subunit ribosomal RNA", at positions 335 to 802 of the family's 1533-position model. The record is from RNAcentral.
ACUCCUACGGGAGGCAGCAGUGGGAAGUAUUGCACAAUGGGGGAAACCCUGAUGCAGCCAUGCCGCGUGUGUGAAGAAGGCCUUGGGUUGUAAAGCACUUUCAGUAGGGAGGAAGGUAGUGUAGUUAACACCUGCAUUAUUUGACGUUACCUACAGAAGAAGCACCGGCUAACUCCGUGCCAGCAGCCGCGGUAAUACGGAGGGUGCGAGCGUUAAUCGGAAUUACUGGGCGUAAAGCGCAUGCAGGCGGCCUGUUAAGUCAGAUGUGAAAGCCCGGGGCUUAACCUCGGAAUUGCAUUUGAAACUGGCAGGCUAGAGUCUUGUAGAGGGGUUAGAAUUUCAGGUGUAGCGGUGAAAUGCGUAGAGAUCUGAAGGAAUACCAGUGGCGAAGGCGGCCCCUGGACAAAGACUGACGCUCAGAUGCGAAAGCGUGGGAGCAAACAGGAUUAGAUACCCCUGGUAGACUGUCA